AUGUAGACCUGUUUUUUUCAGUUUCUACUCAUGAUGAUGCAGUCCUUCUGCCAGAGCCAAAGGCAUCACAAACAGGCUCUUACUCUCCAGCAAUUGGGUUGCCACUGAAGGAUUCACUUCCAGCAACUUUCCCAUUGUGUCUUCCAGAGGUUCAAUCUGCUGUUCAUCAAGAAUGUAAUGGCCACAUCCCUCAAGAAAUACAAACGGGAUAGAAGUAGGUUCACCACCCAAUCUGCUCCUACUGAGAUCCUUCAUCUGGAACUGCAGAUAUUUGAUAUGAUCAAUAAUUUCAUCCAUUUGAGAUGCUUUUCCACCCUGUAAACCACAUAAAACUUCUGUUUCACCCAUUUUUUAGGAAGCAGAAAACUGUAUAAUGAAUGGAUAUUGGAUGAUACCAGUAG
This 401-nucleotide unclassified non-coding RNA is filed under the name Hevea brasiliensis (rubber tree). Lineage: Eukaryota; Viridiplantae; Streptophyta; Magnoliopsida; Malpighiales; Euphorbiaceae. The record is from RNAcentral.